This 428-nucleotide ribosomal RNA is filed under the name uncultured bacterium. RNAcentral describes it as "partial 16S ribosomal RNA". It matches the Rfam family "Bacterial small subunit ribosomal RNA", at positions 354 to 796 of the family's 1533-position model. The record is from RNAcentral.
GUAGGGAAUAUUGCGCAAUGGGGGAAACCCUGACGCAGCGACGCCGCGUGAGUGAUGAAGGCCUUCGGGUCGUAAAGCUCUGUUGCAGGGGAAUAAAAAAAUGAAGGUACCCUGUGAGGAAGGAUCGGCUAACUUCGUGCCAGCAGCCGCGGUAAGACGAGGGAUCCUAGCGUUGCUCGGAAUCAUUGGGCGUAAAGAGGGCGUAGGUGGCUUGGUAAGUCAGGUGUGAAAGCCCAGGGCUCAACCCUGGAAGUGCAUUUGAUACUGCUGAGCUUGAGUGUCGGAGAGGUUACCGGAAUACCUGGUGUAGUGGUGAAAUACGUAGAUAUCAGGUGGAACACCGGAGGCGAAGGCGGGUAACUGGACGAACACUGACACUGAGGCCCGAAAGCGCGGGGAUCAAACAGGAUUAGAAACCCGGGUAGUCC